This 226-nucleotide unclassified non-coding RNA is filed under the name plant metagenome. RNAcentral describes it as "partial contains small subunit ribosomal RNA, internal transcribed spacer 1, and 5.8S ribosomal RNA". The record is from RNAcentral.
UUUCCGUUGGUGAACCAGCGGAAGGAUCAUUACAGAGUUCAUGCCCUUCGGGGUAGACCUCCCACCCUGUUUAAUUACUAUUGUUGCUUUGGCAGGCUGCCCUCACCAUGGGGCGUCCGGGUUCCGCCCGCGUCUUGCCUGCCAGAAGCCCCCUAAUUCUGUGUUCUGUGUCGUCUGAGUACUAUAUAAUAAGUUAAAACUUUCAACAACGGAUCUCUUGGUUCUG